RNAcentral lists this ribosomal RNA (497 nucleotides) under uncultured bacterium. Its description in RNAcentral is "partial 16S ribosomal RNA". It matches the Rfam family "Bacterial small subunit ribosomal RNA", at positions 28 to 507 of the family's 1533-position model. The record is from RNAcentral.
GAUGAACGCUGGCGGCGUGCCUAAUACAUGCAAGUCGAGCGAACAGACGAGGAGCUUGCUCCUCUGACGUUAGCGGCGGACGGGUGAGUAACACGUGGAUAACCUACCUAUAAGACUGGGAUAAAUUCGGGAAACCGGAGCUAAUACCGGAUAAUAUAUUGAACCGCAUGGUUCAAUAGUGAAAGACGGUUUUGCUGUCACUUAUAGAUGGAUCCGCGCCGCAUUAGCUAGUUGGUAAGGUAACGGCUUACCAAGGCAACGAUGCGUAGCCGACCUGAGAGGGUGAUCGGCCACACUGGAACUGAGACACGGUCCAGACUCCUACGGGAGGCAGCAGUAGGGAAUCUUCCGCAAUGGGCGAAAGCCUGACGGAGCAACGCCGCGUGAGUGAUGAAGGUCUUCGGAUCGUAAAACUCUGUUAUUAGGGAAGAACAAAUGUGUAAGUAACUAUGCACGUCUUGACGGUACCUAAUCAGGAAGCCACGGCUAACUACGUG